UUCCCUACGGGGGGCAGCAGUGAGGAAUAUUGGUCAAUGGGCUUACGCCUGAACCAGCCAAGUCGCGUGAGGGAAGACUGCCCUAUGGGUUGUAAACCUCUUUUGUCAGGGAGCAACGCCGGCUACGUGUAGCCGGACUGAGAGUACCUGAAGAAAAAGCAUCGGCUAACUCCGUGCCAGCAGCCGCGGUAAUACGGAGGAGGCGGGCGUUAUCCGGAUUUAUUGGGUUGAAAGGGUGCGGAGGCGGAAUGCCAAGUCAGCGGU
This 264-nucleotide ribosomal RNA is filed under the name uncultured bacterium. Its description in RNAcentral is "partial 16S ribosomal RNA". It matches the Rfam family "Bacterial small subunit ribosomal RNA", at positions 335 to 595 of the family's 1533-position model. The record is from RNAcentral.